This 478-nucleotide ribosomal RNA is filed under the name Rhizopus stolonifer. RNAcentral describes it as "eukaryotic LSU rRNA". It matches the Rfam family "Eukaryotic large subunit ribosomal RNA", at positions 234 to 628 of the family's 3401-position model. The record is from RNAcentral. Lineage: Eukaryota; Fungi; Mucoromycota; Mucoromycetes; Mucorales; Rhizopodaceae.
CAUUAGUCUUUUGUGAUACAUUUUCAAUGAGUCAGGUUGUUUGGGAAUGCAGCCUAAAUUGGGAGGUAAAUCUCUCCUAAAGCUAAAUAUUUGCGAGAAACCGAUAGCGAACAAGUACCGUGAGGGAAAGAUGAAAAGAACUUUGAAAAGAGAGUUAAACAGUAUGUGAAAUUGUUAAAAGGGAACCGUUUGGAGCCAGUCUGGCUUUCCUAUAAUCAAUCUAGGCUUCGGCCUUGAUGCACUUGUAGGUUAUCGCCGGCCAACGACAAUUGGGAUCGCGAGGGAAAAAACCUUUGGAAAUGUAGCCAUUCUGCAAAGUUUGGUGUUAUAGUCCUUGGGAAAAUACCUUGUGCUCGAUUGAGGAUCGCAGUGAAUGCCUUUCGGGGCAGGAUGUGGUGAGGUAGGUUUGCUUGACCUAAGGUGACUUUCGGGUUGCUUUAGCGAUGGCUUACUCCUUGCUUCUAUCUUUAUUCGCUUA